AUGAAAUGGGGAGAGGAAGAACGGUCCCAAAAAAAGAGGUGACAAUGCGCAUCCGUGAAAUCGUAAAACUGGAUAUAAAAUUUUACAACUGAUCGUCGAAAUUAUCAUGGAAGAAACGGAGGUUCGAGAGAGGGGAAAAAAAAAUAGGGAAGACGACGAAAGGAAUCUUGAUGGAAUAAUAAAUGUAUUUCGUACUAAUAGAACAUAUUAUUACACGAGUCAGUGGUACACAACUUCCUCCGGUAUACACGCCGCUAUAUAAUUUUUACACGCAUUCCACGUCGAUAUACUUUCCCGUUUCCUUUUUCUCUCCAAAGAUGUACGUACUUCUUUCCAACUUCUUGUACAUGUAACUUCGUUCAAGUUCACACGUGUAUGUGUGUGUGUACGUGUAUUUGUAAUGUCUUUUCUUUUUUCUUUUUUUCUUUUUUUUUUGCCAACCUUUCAUUCUCAUUCCGCAUCACAUCGCCUGGCAUCGUUUCAUCUUACUGCUAUUACGCGCACAACAAUUUUCCGACGGAUUAAAUUCCGAUUCGAAGUUCUAUACGCCUCGAUCGACGCUGGAAUUAAAUAAUAAAGGAAACGCGCUUCUUGGCGACCUCGCGUGUCAUGUCACGAAGCGUGUGGAAAGGUAUCUUUCCUUUCUUUUUUUUCUUUCCCCUUUUUUUUCAAAAAUAAUGAGACGUGGAAAUGGAAAUAAAAUAACUGUACGUACAAAUUGACGAUCGGUGUAAGCGUGUACGUGAUCGAAGUGAAGAAGGAAGAACGAAUGCCUCGCGUUUCUGAUCUCGUACUACAGCCCGUAACACUUUUCCACUCGGACCACCCCGCAUUUCGAAUAAACACAAACUCGAUUAACAUAACACGUUUCGAAUUUGAAAAUUUGAAUCUCGUCAUUUCCCCUUUCGAGUAUAUAAAGGAAGAAUCGAGUUACACACGGAUCUAACGUGACACUGCACAGUUUGUACAGUCUUGUCCAAUUUGCAUAAUCGUGUAUCGAAUUUCUCGCACGCCUGAUAUAUUAUUCAUUCUUCGAACGACGAAGGGAGGAGGAAAGAUAAAAUAAGUUGGAGCAGAUGGUGAAAAGUCGGCGGUGGAAUCCUACCGGGGCAGGUUACGCACUUUCCACACUUUUGGCGCGGGCAUUAAUUAGCAUCGUGCGUACGAGGAGGCCGCUCGUGUCAGUUAAAACCGUGGUCAGUUGGCCGCGCGGCAUUGACAGAGUAAAAUCGCCCGGAUAAAAUCGCACCCUCGCGAGGAGCGAGCAGGAAUUGGAAGAGGAACGAGGAUCGAGGCCAACUAGUUCUCAAGGAUAUAUAAUAUCUUCUUGCAAGCGAGCAGCUGAACGUAAACCUGUAUGAAUGUCGGUAAAAAGUGAGGAAACGAACGGAGAAAGGAAGGAGACAGCGAACGGAGAAGUCUUGCGAACGAAAUCAGAAAAGGAGGAAUAACGAUCGAAUAUCUUCGAUAUUAAUCCCCCAACAAGUAUCAUUUUUACCAAUUCUUCCUACUCUUCUUCCUAUUGAUCAACAACCAUCAACUUUUCGUUUCAAAACUCUUCUCCUCCCAAAAAAUACCGAUCUACGAUUAUUAUUAAGAAUCUCGUUCCAAGAUCGAUCGUUCUCCCCCUCCUUCCUUUCCAAGAAAUUUCGUCGACGAAGAAACAAGAAAAGCUUUGGAUCGGAGGAAAUGCGAUGAAGUAGCAGAUGAAAUAAGGCAACGAGUGGCAAAAGAGGAGGACGGAGAAGUCUUACGAACGAAAUCAGAAAAGGAAAAAUGAUCGAAUAUCUUCGAUAUUAAUCCCCCUUUUCGUUUCGAAACUCUUCUCCUCCCAAAAAAUACCGAUCUACGAUUAUUAUUAAGAAUCUCGUUCCAAGAUCGAUCGUUCUCCCCCUUCUUCCUUUCCAAGAAAUUUCGUCGAAGAAGAAACAAGAAAGAAAGAGAGGCUCUGGAUCGGAGGAAAUGCGAUGAAGUAGCAGAUGAAAUAAGGCAACGAGUGGCAAAAGUGGAGAACGGAGAAGUCUUACGAACGAAAUCAGAAAAGGAGGAAUAACGAUCGAAUAUCUUCGAUAUUAAUCCCCCAACAAGUAUCAUUUUUACCAAUUCUUCCUAUUCUUCUUUCUAUUGAUCAACAACCAUCAACAGUUUCGAAACUCUCCAAAAAAUCUCCUCCUCCCAAAAAAUACCGAUCUACGAUUAUUAUUAAGAAUUAUUAAGAAAUUUCGUCGAAGAAGAAAAGAAGAGAGGCUCUGGAUCGGAGGAAAUGCGAUGAAGUAGCGGAUGAAAUAAGGCAACGAGUGGCAAAAGUGGAGAAC
Long non-coding RNA from Apis mellifera (honey bee), 2315 nucleotides. RefSeq lists it as uncharacterized. The transcript is spliced from 6 exons. The record is from RefSeq and is a predicted model, not a curated record. Lineage: Eukaryota; Metazoa; Arthropoda; Insecta; Hymenoptera; Apidae.